GUGGAUUAGAUACCCUGGUAGUCCACACCGUAAACGUUGGGCGCUAGGUGUGGGAUCCAUUCCACGGGUUCCGUGCCGUAGCUAACGCAUUAAGCGCCCCGCCUGGGGAGUACGGCCGCAAGGCUAAAACUCAAAGGAAUUGACGGGGGCCCGCACAAGCGGCGGAGCAUGCGGAUUAAUUCGAUGCAACGCGAAGAACCUUACCUGGGUUUGACAUACACCGGAAAGCUGCAGAGAUGUGGCCCCUUUUUGUCGGUGUACAGGUGGUGCACGGCUGUCGCCAACU
This 286-nucleotide ribosomal RNA is filed under the name uncultured bacterium. RNAcentral describes it as "partial 16S ribosomal RNA". It matches the Rfam family "Bacterial small subunit ribosomal RNA", at positions 773 to 1060 of the family's 1533-position model. The record is from RNAcentral.